ACGUAGGGUCCAAGCGUUAUCCGGAAUUACUGGGCGUAAAGCGUCUGUAGGCGGCUUAAUAAGUCGGGUGCGAAAUCUUGCGGCUCAACCGUAUAGACUGUGCUCGAAACUAUUUAGCUAGAGGUAGGUAGAGGCAAGUGGAAUUUCUGGUGUAGGAGUGACAUCCGUAGAUAUCAGAAGGAACACCAAUGGCGAAGGCAGCUUGCUGGGCCUUACCUGACGCUCAGAGACGAAAGCGUGGGGAGCGAACGGG
RNAcentral lists this ribosomal RNA (253 nucleotides) under uncultured bacterium. RNAcentral describes it as "partial 16S ribosomal RNA". It matches the Rfam family "Bacterial small subunit ribosomal RNA", at positions 525 to 776 of the family's 1533-position model. The record is from RNAcentral.